RNAcentral lists this ribosomal RNA (507 nucleotides) under Colwellia sp. U1. RNAcentral describes it as "bacterial SSU rRNA". It matches the Rfam family "Bacterial small subunit ribosomal RNA", at positions 11 to 506 of the family's 1533-position model. The record is from RNAcentral. Lineage: Bacteria; Pseudomonadati; Pseudomonadota; Gammaproteobacteria; Alteromonadales; Colwelliaceae.
GUUNUNAUCCUGGCUCAGAUUGAACGCUGGCGGCAGGCUUAACACAUGCAAGUCGAGCGGAAACGAGAAUAGCUUGCUAUUCGGCGUCGAGCGGCGGACGGGUGAGUAAUGCUUGGGAAUAUGCCUUUGAGUGGGGGACAACAGUUGGAAACGACUGCUAAUACCGCAUAACGUCUACGGACCAAAGGGGGGGACGCUUCGGCACCUCUCGCUCAUUGAUUAGCCCAAGUGAGAUUAGCUAGUUGGUAAGGUAAUGGCUUACCAAGGCGACGAUCUCUAGCUGGUUUGAGAGGAUGAUCAGCCACACUGGGACUGAGACACGGCCCAGACUCCUACGGGAGGCAGCAGUGGGGAAUAUUGCACAAUGGGCGAAAGCCUGAUGCAGCCAUGCCGCGUGUGUGAAGAAGGCCUUCGGGUUGUAAAGCACUUUCAGCGAGGAGGAAAGGUUAGUAGUUAAUAGCUGCUAGCUGUGACGUUACUCGCAGAAGAAGCACCGGCUAACUACGG